This 402-nucleotide ribosomal RNA is filed under the name uncultured bacterium. Its description in RNAcentral is "bacterial SSU rRNA". It matches the Rfam family "Bacterial small subunit ribosomal RNA", at positions 32 to 410 of the family's 1533-position model. The record is from RNAcentral.
AAUCAACGCUGGCGGCGUGCCUCAGACAUGCAAGUCGAACGCGAAAGGUUCCUUCGGGGACCGAGUAGAGUGGCGCACGGGUGAGUAACACGUAGGUAAUUUGCCUUUGGGUGGGGAAUAACUCAGGGAAACUUGAGCUAAUACCGCAUAAUGCAGCGGCUCGACAUCGAGACAGUUGUUAAAGCGGGGGAUUCGCAAGAACCUCGCGCCUAAAGAGAAGCCUGCGGCAGAUUAGCUAGUUGGUAAGGUAAUGGCUUACCAAGGCGACGAUCUGUAACCGGCCUGAGAGGGCGGUCGGUCACACUGACACUGACAUACGGGUCAGACUCCUACGGGAGGCAGCAGUCGGGAAUUUUGGGCAAUGGGCGAAAGCCUGACCCACGCAACGCCGCGUGAAGGAUG